Molecule: ribosomal RNA, 2929 nt
Filed under: Escherichia coli
Lineage: Bacteria; Pseudomonadati; Pseudomonadota; Gammaproteobacteria; Enterobacterales; Enterobacteriaceae
Description: bacterial LSU rRNA
Rfam family: Bacterial large subunit ribosomal RNA
Source: RNAcentral
GGGUUGUGAGGUUAAGCGACUAAGCGUACACGGUGGAUGCCCUGGCAGUCAGAGGCGAUGAAGGACGUGCUAAUCUGCGAUAAGCGUCGGUAAGGUGAUAUGAACCGUUAUAACCGGCGAUUUCCGAAUGGGGAAACCCAGUGUGAUUCGUCACACUAUCAUUAACUGAAUCCAUAGGUUAAUGAGGCGAACCGGGGGAACUGAAACAUCUAAGUACCCCGAGGAAAAGAAAUCAACCGAGAUUCCCCCAGUAGCGGCGAGCGAACGGGGAGCAGCCCAGAGCCUGAAUCAGUGUGUGUGUUAGUGGAAGCGUCUGGAAAGGCGCGCGAUACAGGGUGACAGCCCCGUACACAAAAAUGCACAUGCUGUGAGCUCGAUGAGUAGGGCGGGACACGUGGUAUCCUGUCUGAAUAUGGGGGGACCAUCCUCCAAGGCUAAAUACUCCUGACUGACCGAUAGUGAACCAGUACCGUGAGGGAAAGGCGAAAAGAACCCCGGCGAGGGGAGUGAAAAAGAACCUGAAACCGUGUACGUACAAGCAGUGGGAGCCUCUUUAUGGGGUGACUGCGUACCUUUUGUAUAAUGGGUCAGCGACUUAUAUUCUGUAGCAAGGUUAACCGAAUAGGGGAGCCGAAGGGAAACCGAGUCUUAACUGGGCGUUAAGUUGCAGGGUAUAGACCCGAAACCCGGUGAUCUAGCCAUGGGCAGGUUGAAGGUUGGGUAACACUAACUGGAGGACCGAACCGACUAAUGUUGAAAAAUUAGCGGAUGACUUGUGGCUGGGGGUGAAAGGCCAAUCAAACCGGGAGAUAGCUGGUUCUCCCCGAAAGCUAUUUAGGUAGCGCCUCGUGAACUCAUCUCCGGGGGUAGAGCACUGUUUCGGCAAGGGGGUCAUCCCGACUUACCAACCCGAUGCAAACUGCGAAUACCGGAGAAUGUUAUCACGGGAGACACACGGCGGGUGCUAACGUCCGUCGUGAAGAGGGAAACAACCCAGACCGCCAGCUAAGGUCCCAAAGUCAUGGUUAAGUGGGAAACGAUGUGGGAAGGCCCAGACAGCCAGGAUGUUGGCUUAGAAGCAGCCAUCAUUUAAAGAAAGCGUAAUAGCUCACUGGUCGAGUCGGCCUGCGCGGAAGAUGUAACGGGGCUAAACCAUGCACCGAAGCUGCGGCAGCGACGCUGAUGCGUUGUUGGGUAGGGGAGCGUUCUGUAAGCCUGUGAAGGUGUGCUGUGAGGCAUGCUGGAGGUAUCAGAAGUGCGAAUGCUGACAUAAGUAACGAUAAAGCGGGUGAAAAGCCCGCUCGCCGGAAGACCAAGGGUUCCUGUCCAACGUUAAUCGGGGCAGGGUGAGUCGACCCCUAAGGCGAGGCCGAAAGGCGUAGUCGAUGGGAAACAGGUUAAUAUUCCUGUACUUGGUGUUACUGCGAAGGGGGGACGGAGAAGGCUAUGUUGGCCGGGCGACGGUUGUCCCGGUUUAAGCGUGUAGGCUGGUUUUCCAGGCAAAUCCGGAAAAUCAAGGCUGAGGCGUGAUGACGAGGCACUACGGUGCUGAAGCAACAAAUGCCCUGCUUCCAGGAAAAGCCUCUAAGCAUCAGGUAACAUCAAAUCGUACCCCAAACCGACACAGGUGGUCAGGUAGAGAAUACCAAGGCGCUUGAGAGAACUCGGGUGAAGGAACUAGGCAAAAUGGUGCCGUAACUUCGGGAGAAGGCACGCUGAUAUGUAGGUGAAGUCCCUCGCGGAUGGAGCUGAAAUCAGUCGAAGAUACCAGCUGGCUGCAACUGUUUAUUAAAAACACAGCACUGUGCAAACACGAAAGUGGACGUAUACGGUGUGACGCCUGCCCGGUGCCGGAAGGUUAAUUGAUGGGGUCAGCGCAAGCGAAGCUCUUGAUCGAAGCCCCGGUAAACGGCGGCCGUAACUAUAACGGUCCUAAGGUAGCGAAAUUCCUUGUCGGGUAAGUUCCGACCUGCACGAAUGGCGUAAUGAUGGCCAGGCUGUCUCCACCCGAGACUCAGUGAAAUUGAACUCGCUGUGAAGAUGCAGUGUACCCGCGGCAAGACGGAAAGACCCCGUGAACCUUUACUAUAGCUUGACACUGAACAUUGAGCCUUGAUGUGUAGGAUAGGUGGGAGGCUUAGAAGUGUGGACGCCAGUCUGCAUGGAGCCGACCUUGAAAUACCACCCUUUAAUGUUUGAUGUUCUAACGUUGACCCGUAAUGCGGGUUGCGGACAGUGUCUGGUGGGUAGUUUGACUGGGGCGGUCUCCUCCUAAAGAGUAACGGAGGAGCACGAAGGUUGGCUAAUCCUGGUCGGACAUCAGGAGGUUAGUGCAAUGGCAUAAGCCAGCUUGACUGCGAGCGUGACGGCGCGAGCAGGUGCGAAAGCAGGUCAUAGUGAUCCGGUGGUUCUGAAUGGAAGGGCCAUCGCUCAACGGAUAAAAGGUACUCCGGGGAUAACAGGCUGAUACCGCCCAAGAGUUCAUAUCGACGGCGGUGUUUGGCACCUCGAUGUCGGCUCAUCACAUCCUGGGGCUGAAGUAGGUCCCAAGGGUAUGGCUGUUCGCCAUUUAAAGUGGUACGCGAGCUGGGUUUAGAACGUCGUGAGACAGUUCGGUCCCUAUCUGCCGUGGGCGCUGGAGAACUGAGGGGGGCUGCUCCUAGUACGAGAGGACCGGAGUGGACGCAUCACUGGUGUUCGGGUUGUCAUGCCAAUGGCACUGCCCGGUAGCUAAAUGCGGAAGAGAUAAGUGCUGAAAGCAUCUAAGCACGAAACUUGCCCCGAGAUGAGUUCUCCCUGACUCCUUGAGAGUCCUGAAGGAACGUUGAAGACGACGACGUUGAUAGGCCGGGUGUGUAAGCGCAGCGAUGCGUUGAGCUAACCGGUACUAAUGAACCGUGAGGCUUAACCUUACAACGCCGAAGCUGUU